UCCGUAGGUGAACCUGCGGAAGGAUCAUUACCGAGUUGAUUCGGGCUCGGCCCGAUCCUCCCACCCUUUGUGUACCUACCUCUGUUGCUUUGGCGGGCCGCGGUCCUCCGCGGCCGCCCCCCUCCCCGGGGGGGUGGCCAGCGCCCGCCAGAGGACCAUCAAACUCCAGUCAGUAAACGAUGCAGUCUGAAAAACAUUUAAUAAACUAAAACUUUCAACAACGGAUCUCUUGGUUCUGGCAUCGAUGAAGAACGCAGCGAAAUGCGAUAAGUAAUGUGAAUUGCAGAAUUCAGUGAAUCAUCGAAUCUUUGAACGCACAUUGCGCCCUUUGGUAUUCCGAAGGGCAUGCCUGUUCGAGCGUCAUUACAACCCUCAAGCUCUGCUUGGUAUUGGGCACCGUCCUUUGCGGGCGCGCCUCAAAGACCUCGGCGGUGGCGUCUUGCCUCAAGCGUAGUAGAACAUACAUCUCGCUUCGGAGCGCAGGGCGUCGCCCGCCGGACGAACCUUCUGAACUUUUCUCAAGGUUGACCUCGGAUCAGGUAGGGAUACCCGCUGAACUUAAGCAUAUCAAUAAGCGGAGGAA
This 583-nucleotide ribosomal RNA is filed under the name Botryosphaeria dothidea. RNAcentral's name for it is "eukaryotic LSU rRNA". The stretch from base 210 to 363 matches the Rfam family "5.8S ribosomal RNA". Lineage: Eukaryota; Fungi; Ascomycota; Dothideomycetes; Botryosphaeriales; Botryosphaeriaceae. The record is from RNAcentral.